RNAcentral lists this ribosomal RNA (565 nucleotides) under uncultured Glomeromycotina. RNAcentral's name for it is "SSU rRNA". It matches the Rfam family "Eukaryotic small subunit ribosomal RNA", at positions 548 to 1114 of the family's 1831-position model. Lineage: Eukaryota; Fungi; Glomeromycota. The record is from RNAcentral.
UUGGAGGGCAAGUCUGGUGCCAGCAGCCGCGGUAAUUCCAGCUCCAAUAGCGUAUAUUAAAGUUGUUGCAGUUAAAAAGCUCGUAGUUGAAUUUCGGGGUCAGUAGAUUGGUCGUGCCACUGGUAUGUACUGGUCUCACUGGCUCCUCCUUCCUGAUGAACCGUAAUGCCAUUAAUUUGGUGUUGCGGGGAGACUGGACUGUUACUUUGAAAAAAUUAGAGUGUUUAAAGCAGGCUAACGCUUGAAUACAUUAGCAUGGAAUAAUGAAAUAGGACGUUCGAUCUUAUUUUGUUGGUUUCUAAGAUUGACGUAAUGAUUAAUAGGGAUAGUUGGGGGCAUUAGUAUUCAAUUGUCAGAGGUGAAAUUCUUGGAUUUAUUGAAGACUAACUACUGCGAAAGCAUUUGCCAAGGAUGUUUUCAUUAAUCAAGAACGAAAGUUAGGGGAUCGAAGACGAUCAGAUACCGUCGUAGUCUUAACCAUAAACUAUGCCGACUAGGGAUCGGAUGAUGUUAAUUUUUUAAUGACUCAUUCGGCGCCUUACGGGAGACCAAAGUGUUUGGGUUC